UUUCUAUAGUUGAAUUACAACGAUGGCUUUUCGAGUCAUAGGUCUUGGAUGGAAGCCAAGUGGAAAU
RNAcentral lists this transfer RNA (67 nucleotides) under Dendrocopos noguchii (Okinawa woodpecker). RNAcentral's name for it is "tRNA-Glu". It matches the Rfam family "tRNA". Rfam says of the family: Transfer RNA (tRNA) molecules are approximately 80 nucleotides in length. Their secondary structure includes four short double-helical elements and three loops (D, anti-codon, and T loops). Further hydrogen bonds mediate the characteristic L-shaped molecular structure. tRNAs have two regions of fundamental functional importance: the anti-codon, which is responsible for specific mRNA codon recognition, and the 3' end, to which the tRNAs corresponding amino acid is attached (by aminoacyl-tRNA synthetases). tRNAs cope with the degeneracy of the genetic code in two manners: having more than one tRNA (with a specific anti-codon) for a particular amino acid; and 'wobble' base-pairing, i.e. permitting non-standard base-pairing at the 3rd anti-codon position. The record is from RNAcentral. Lineage: Eukaryota; Metazoa; Chordata; Aves; Piciformes; Picidae.